Molecule: ribosomal RNA, 477 nt
Filed under: uncultured bacterium
Lineage: Bacteria
Description: bacterial SSU rRNA
Rfam family: Bacterial small subunit ribosomal RNA
Source: RNAcentral
UGAACGCUAGCGGCAGGCCUAACACAUGCAAGUCGAGGGGUAACGAUGGCUUCGGCCAGGCGACGACCGGCGCACGGGUGAGUAUCGCGUUUGUAACCUACCUCUAACUGGAGAAUAGCCCGAAGAAAUUCGGAUUAAUACUCCAUAAUACUAUGAUCUGGCAUCUUUUUAUAGUUAAAGCUCCGGCGGUUAGAGAUGGGCAUGCGUGACAUUAGUUUGUUGGUGAGGUAAGAGCUCACCAAGACUACGAUGUCUAGGGGGUCUGAGAGGAUGGUCCCCCACACUGGUACUGAGACACGGACCAGACUCCUACGGGAGGCAGCAGUGAGGAAUAUUGGUCAAUGGGCGCAAGCCUGAACCAGCCAUGCCGCGUGAAGGAUGACGGCGCUAUGCGUUGUAAACUUCUUUUGUACAGGAAGAAACACUUCUACGUGUAGAAGCUUGACGGUACUGUACGAAUAAGCAUCGGCUAACUCC